GAUGACGCUGACAGAAUGCUUAACACAUGCAAGUCAACUUGAAUUUGGGUUUUUAACUUAGGUUUGGGUGGCGGACGGGUGAGUAACGCGUAAAGAACUUGCCUCACAGCUAGGGACAACAUUUGGAAACGAAUGCUAAUACCUAAUAUUAUGAUAAUAGGGCAUCCUAUAAUUAUGAAAGCUAUAAGCGCUGUGAGAGAGCUUUGCGUCCCAUUAGCUAGUUGGAGAGGUAACGGCUCACCAAGGCGAUGAUGGGUAGCCGGCCUGAGAGGGUGAUCGGCCACAAGGGGACUGAGACACGGCCCUUACUCCUACGGGAGGCAGCAGUGGGGAAUAUUGGACAAUGGACCGAGAGUCUGAUCCAGCAAUUCUGUGUGCACGAUGAAGUUUUUCGGAAUGUAAAGUGCUUUCAGUUGGGAAGAAAAAAAUGACGGUACCAACAGAAGAAGUGACGGCUAAAUACGUGCCAGCAGCCGCGGCAAUACGUAUGUCACGAGCGUUAUCCGGAUUUAUUGGGCGUAAAGCGCGUCUAGGUGGUUAUAUAAGUCUGAUGUGAAAAUGCAGGGCUCAACUCUGUAUUGCGUUGGAAACUGUAUAACUAGAGUACUGGAGAGGUAAGCGGAACUACAAGUGUAGAGGUGAAAUUCGUAGAUAUGUGCAGGAAUGCCGAUGAUGAAGAUAGUCCACUGGACGGAAACUGACGCUGAAGUGCGAAAGCCGGGGGAGCGAACAGG
RNAcentral lists this ribosomal RNA (734 nucleotides) under uncultured Fusobacterium sp. Its description in RNAcentral is "bacterial SSU rRNA". It matches the Rfam family "Bacterial small subunit ribosomal RNA", at positions 28 to 776 of the family's 1533-position model. The record is from RNAcentral. Lineage: Bacteria; Fusobacteriati; Fusobacteriota; Fusobacteriia; Fusobacteriales; Fusobacteriaceae.